This is a non-coding RNA of Odocoileus virginianus texanus, 756 nucleotides long. The record is from RefSeq and is a predicted model, not a curated record. Lineage: Eukaryota; Metazoa; Chordata; Mammalia; Artiodactyla; Cervidae.
GCUCAGCUUCUGUAGGGAGGCAGGUGGGGAGGGGAGUGUAGUUAAUGAGGAAACUGACAUUGCUUGAAAGGGAAUGAAACCACUUGGUAACAUGUCCUUUGAACAUGUUUUACUUUUUACCUCUUAUAAUGGAAAUCAAGCAUUACUAACUUAUGGCAGGGCCCUUCUGAACAGUAUUUGAUAAUAAAAGGGAGCCUCAAGGUAUUGCCUAUUUUAAUCCUCUUGAGAUCAACCUAGAAGCCUUACCAAAUUAAUGAUAAUCACAGUCUGUGUGAGAUUGUAACUACAAGGGAGGAAGAGCAGAGGGAGAAAGGAGGAGAGCUUGCUGCCAGAUUGGGCAAGAAGAGGUCUGACUGGAUGUGAGUAAUGAAAAUGCAAAGGCUGGACACAUCUGCAUGGCUGACUCUGAACACAGCCCCAGGUGGUUCUCUCUCCCUCCCUCCUUUUGACUUUUUCCUUUGGAGACUUUUAUGAAGGAGAAGAUGCCACUGUACUUAGGAAGAGAAGGGGCUUUUCAGACAUUUCUGCAGCUCCACACUGCCAUUAGCAAGGAGCCGUGAACUGCCAACCCAACAAAGGCCAAUUUCUUCUCAGCUUAGAAGCAAAAAUGCUUAAGAGCUUCUCCCUCUACUUUUCACUGUCUUUACAAAUAAUUUUUUCCCAAUGGCUGAAAUACAUUUCUAUUACAACUGUACAAGACAUUAAGUGAACUACUUUCUAUGUAAGCAAGAAACGAAAAGUACAUCAAGCAGGGAC